AAAACUGUAAAAAGUAAAAUGAUCCAGUCUUCUGAUUAAAUCUUUUAAUUUUGGAAAACAGUUAAUUCUCUUAAAACUACUGUUAACAUGCAAGUAGUUCUCAAUAGUCUGAAGGAAUAAAAUAUCUUUACAUUGAAAUUAAUGCUUAAUGUAGCAAAUAUCGGUGGACAUAAUCCACAUUAACAUGAUUACAUCUGGAGUGCACACUACACUUUAACAGCAAAUAAAGAUCCUGACACCAAAACGUUUGUUUACUCCCUGAGGCAUGAAUAAAGGGGACAGUGUAACAAAGAGCGAUUGGUACAGAAGAAUAUUCCAAAGUUCCAGGUCCCCCAGCUUGGCUCUCAGAAUCUAGAGAGGUGUCUUGGGUGUGGACACAGAGCACUGGGGAUUUCCCCUUCUGCCUGAAGUUUCACUUCUCACUCUCCCAACCUGGUCCAGGUCUAUCUUCCCAGACACUCUUGACAGGGGCCCAGUUAUUACUCCUAUUGCGUGUCUUGCUCCUAGAGAAGCGAAUCAGCGUCACCUUCACCGAGGUUCAGUUCUAAAGUUUCCACCCACCCGCCUGGAUGCAGAAUCUUCACAGAGCUGCAGAAUGGGGGUAGUGGCUCCCCUAGAGCUGUUCCUGCUGCUGUUGGGGACCCUGGCCCUGACGGACAUUUGGGCAGGUGAGUGAAAGGUCAGGAGGGAAAUGGCCUCUGCGCCGGAGUAGCUGGCAACAGUCCACUUAUAGCUCAGGACCCAAGAAAGCCUAUCCUUGCAACCCCCAGCUUAGAUCCUCCCCAGCGUGGCGUGGCUGGUCCUGACCCUCCACUCUCUCCCCUAAGUCCUGCCCUCCCGCAUCCCAUCGCCCCUUUUGUAUCUCUGGAGCCUACUCCUCUCCUCCUGGUGUCGUCAACCUGGACCUGGGUUGGGCACCAGAGGAGGGUGCACUUGGUCUCAGUUUCCCAGCCUACAGGCUCCCACUCCUUGAGGUAUUUCGACACCUCGGUGUCCCGGCCGGGUCACGGGAAGCCCCGCUUCAUCUCCGUGGGCUACGUGGACGACACGCAGUUCGUGCGCUUCGACAGCGACACCGAGAAUCCCAGGGAGGAGGCGCCGGCGCCAUGGAUGGAGCAAGAGGGAUCUGNAUUACAUCUCCCUGAAUGAGGACCUGAGCUCCUGGACCUCAGCGGACGCAGCUGCCCGAAACACCCAGCGGAAGUUGGAGGCAGCCGGUGACGCAGAGCACAGCAGGGCCUACCUGGAGGGUACCUGUGUGGAGGAGCUCCUCAGAUAUCUGGAGAACGGGAAGGAGGCAUUGCAGCGCUUAGGUAUUAGAGGCUGUGGGACUCCUGCCUGAUGUCCUGUAGAUCUCUCCACUCUCUUCCCACGAGAAAGGGAGGAGAAUAACACUCACACUAGAACACCACCCUGCUCUUCCUCCAGAGGGAAGUGAGUCUGCCAGGUGCUGUACUGAGAGGAACUGAAGGCUGCUUUCUCUCAGGACAAGUAAGGGAGCUGGUCUCUCUCUCCCUGGCUGGUGGGAAAGACAAUAAAUAACUGAGCACAGUUCCCUUGGCAACAGCCUUGGCAUGUAUGGUCAGGUCCACUCCAGCCUAUUGUCUUUGAGGUGUGACUCCAACUUUUCAACAUCUCUCAGCCGCCACCCAGAUCAGAACUCUAAGUCCCCAUCAGACACCUGAAGCCUCUUACACUGGGUUGUCUUAACAAGAUUCUAGAACUUUGCAAGGAAUAGGAGAUUAUGCCAGAAGCUUCAACCCAGACUUGUGUCUAAGUUUUGUGCUCCCUCCCCAACCCAAAUUGUGCUGUCCAUUCUCCAGAUAGUUAUGUGAGCACUGCUUCAGUGAUCCAGGAGUGGUAAUGCAAAAAUAUCUGAAUUUCCCUAUUCUUUCCGUCAGACCCCCCAAAGACACAUCUGACUCACCACACUAGCCCUGACGGAGAUGUCACUCUGAAGUGCUGGGCCCUGGGAUUCUACCCUAAGGAGAUCACCCUGAACUGGCAACGAGAUGGGGAGGACCAGAUCCAGGACAUGGAACUUGUGGAGACCAGGCCUGCAGGGGAUGGAAACUUCCAGAAAUGGGCAGCUGUGGUGGUGUCUGCUGGAGAGGAGCAGAGAUACACAUGCCAUGUGCACCAUGAGGGGCUGCCUGAGCCCCUCAUCCUGAGAUGGGGUAAGGAGGGGAUGAGGGCCCAGAGCCUGUUGUCAGGAAGCAGGAGACUUUUUCUGGAGAUCUUCAGCAGGGUAGGGAUUGAGAACUGGGGAUGAGGGCCCCUCACCUAAUUUCCCUACCUCUCCCAGAGCCACCCUCUCAGCCCAUCAUGAGAAUUGUUGCUGGCCUGGUCCUCCUUGGAGCUGUUAUCACUGGAGCUGUGGUCCCUUUUGUCUUGUGGAAGAAGAAAAACACAGGUAGGAAAAGUGCAGGGUCUGAAUUUUUGUUCCACUGAUGGUUUCAAGUACCUGGUAGAAAUGUGCCCUGCCUUGUUCAUUGGAAGUAAUAGCUGCUACAUGUGUCCUUACCCGGCCUGGAAUACUGUUUAAUCUUUGUAAAACAUAUAAAAAAUAAAAGACAAGUUAUGCUUUUGGGGGAUGGGGUGGAUACCAGGGAUGAAUGCAGGGGCACUCAACCACUGAGCAACAUCCCCAGCCUUAUUUUGUAUUUUAUUUAGAGACAAUAUCUCACAGAGUUGCUUAGCACUUCACUUAUGCUAAGGCUGGCUGUAAACUCAUGAUCCUCCUGCCUUAGUCUCCUGAGGUGCUGGGAUUAUAGGCAUGGGCCACCACACCGAGCAAAUUUAUCUUCUUGAUUUUUUGUGGUGAAAAGGACCUGAUUCCCAACAUUUAGAGGCCGGGUGGGAAUUUCCUGCUCAGAGCAACCCUCCAGGAGAGAAAUUGGUGCCAUUCCUAUCUAUCUACUUUCUUCUUGUCUCCUGAUUCUUCCCUACAUCUGCAGUCACAGUUCUGGAGACUGUCCCAGUGUCCAGGACUAUGGGGCACCUCUAAGACCUGUCUUUAACCUGUUCUGUCACAGGAUGUUUUCUUCCCAAAGGAGUAAAAAAAAGGACCUAUGCUUCAGCUGCCUGUAAGUACAAAGAAUAGUGAUCCCCAAGGCCCUUGGGUUAGUGUAGUGGGAAGUGAUGGGGGAGCUGAUCCAUCCCAUAAUUCCUUCAUUAUCCACAUCUCCUGUGGACUCUGACCAGGUUCUCUUUUUGUUCUGCUCAGGUAAUGACAGUGCCCAGGACUCUGAUGUGUCUCUCACUGCUUAGACAGGUGAGAUCCUGGAGGGCCUAAAGAGAGAGAGGGGUUGGGGAAUGGGGAGACUCCUGAGUUACAGGGCCUCUCACAAGGAUUUUUGACAUUUUCAGUGUUUAAUGGGUUGUUCAGAGUGUCUUUAUUACAAUUGAGUGAUCUGAAUUUGUUCAUAAUACUUUCUUUUACAGUGAGAGACAGCUGCCUCUGUGGGACUGAACAAUACAGGAUUUCUUCAGUUCUCUUCCUGCUUCCUACUGCAAUUUCAAGGGGUCCCAACUUUUCUUUGUGCAGCUGGAAUGUAACUGUCUAUGCGUCUGUAUUCCUGUGAUAAUAAUGUGAGAAAAUGGAGAGAGGAGAAUAUCCCACCAAGACCCCUCCCACACUAUUCUGUUCUCUUCCUCAAUCAACUUUCCUAUGGUGCAAAUUGGGGCUAAGAUGUCUCCAUUCCUGAUUUAGCCUUUUGUUGCCCUGAGCUGUAGCUGCUUCUUUCCCUAUUGAAAAAAAUGAAUCUGAAUAUUGAUUUCUAUUUCAAAUUUGUGCCAUGAAAUAUGGUCAAUGGGUUAAUUAAAUGGAAGGGAGUUUCCUAAAAUCAAUAGAGAAAAUAAAACCUGAAACCUUACAGAAUCCAUGUGUUUGCUGUGCUGAGUCUGCUGUGAGUGGGGACAGGAGAAUGAUGAAAGCAGCUGAGGAUGGACAUGGUAGCACCCAGACUGGGCUCAGUCCACCCUGGGCCUUGAUGUGGUUACUCCUCAGCUGGAUCAUCUUCCCUGUACCUUAGCCCUGUCCCUUUGAUUGAACCUCAUCCCAUCAGGACCUGUGAUGACAGGGACUCAAGCAUUCCCAGGGCUGGUCCUGUCUCCAGGACCAUGGG
RNAcentral lists this long non-coding RNA (4127 nucleotides) under Marmota monax (woodchuck). The record is from RNAcentral. Lineage: Eukaryota; Metazoa; Chordata; Mammalia; Rodentia; Sciuridae.